This 1597-nucleotide ribosomal RNA is filed under the name Escherichia coli. Its description in RNAcentral is "partial 23S ribosomal RNA". It matches the Rfam family "Bacterial large subunit ribosomal RNA", at positions 296 to 1888 of the family's 2925-position model. The record is from RNAcentral. Lineage: Bacteria; Pseudomonadati; Pseudomonadota; Gammaproteobacteria; Enterobacterales; Enterobacteriaceae.
AGCCCAGAGCCUGAAUCAGUGUGUGUGUUAGUGGAAGCGUCUGGAAAGGCGCGCGAUACAGGGUGACAGCCCCGUACACAAAAAUGCACAUGCUGUGAGCUCGAUGAGUAGGGCGGGACACGUGGUAUCCUGUCUGAAUAUGGGGGGACCAUCCUCCAAGGCUAAAUACUCCUGACUGACCGAUAGUGAACCAGUACCGUGAGGGAAAGGCGAAAAGAACCCCGGCGAGGGGAGUGAAAAAGAACCUGAAACCGUGUACGUACAAGCAGUGGGAGCCUCUUUAUGGGGUGACUGCGUACCUUUUGUAUAAUGGGUCAGCGACUUAUAUUCUGUAGCAAGGUUAACCGAAUAGGGGAGCCGAAGGGAAACCGAGUCUUAACUGGGCGUUAAGUUGCAGGGUAUAGACCCGAAACCCGGUGAUCUAGCCAUGGGCAGGUUGAAGGUUGGGUAACACUAACUGGAGGACCGAACCGACUAAUGUUGAAAAAUUAGCGGAUGACUUGUGGCUGGGGGUGAAAGGCCAAUCAAACCGGGAGAUAGCUGGUUCUCCCCGAAAGCUAUUUAGGUAGCGCCUCGUGAAUUCAUCUCCGGGGGUAGAGCACUGUUUCGGCAAGGGGGUCAUCCCGACUUACCAACCCGAUGCAAACUGCGAAUACCGGAGAAUGUUAUCACGGGAGACACACGGCGGGUGCUAACGUCCGUCGUGAAGAGGGAAACAACCCAGACCGCCAGCUAAGGUCCCAAAGUCAUGGUUAAGUGGGAAACGAUGUGGGAAGGCCCAGACAGCCAGGAUGUUGGCUUAGAAGCAGCCAUCAUUUAAAGAAAGCGUAAUAGCUCACUGGUCGAGUCGGCCUGCGCGGAAGAUGUAACGGGGCUAAACCAUGCACCGAAGCUGCGGCAGCGACGCUUAUGCGUUGUUGGGUAGGGGAGCGUUCUGUAAGCCUGCGAAGGUGUACUGUGAGGUAUGCUGGAGGUAUCAGAAGUGCGAAUGCUGACAUAAGUAACGAUAAAGCGGGUGAAAAGCCCGCUCGCCGGAAGACCAAGGGUUCCUGUCCAACGUUAAUCGGGGCAGGGUGAGUCGACCCCUAAGGCGAGGCCGAAAGGCGUAGUCGAUGGGAAACAGGUUAAUAUUCCUGUACUUGGUGUUACUGCGAAGGGGGGACGGAGAAGGCUAUGUUGGCCGGGCGACGGUUGUCCCGGUUUAAGCGUGUAGGCUGGUUUUCCAGGCAAAUCCGGAAAAUCAAGGCUGAGGCGUGAUGACGAGGCACUACGGUGCUGAAGCAACAAAUGCCCUGCUUCCAGGAAAAGCCUCUAAGCAUCAGGUAACAUCAAAUCGUACCCCAAACCGACACAGGUGGUCAGGUAGAGAAUACCAAGGCGCUUGAGAGAACUCGGGUGAAGGAACUAGGCAAAAUGGUGCCGUAACUUCGGGAGAAGGCACGCUGAUACGUAGGUGAAGCGACUUGCUCGUGGAGCUGAAAUCAGUCGAAGAUACCAGCUGGCUGCAACUGUUUAUUAAAAACACAGCACUGUGCAAACACGAAAGUGGACGUAUACGGUGUGACGCCUGCCCGGUGCCGGAAGGUUAAUUGAUGGG